GCUCGGGCUCUGCCUGCGAGGGCGACAGGCAGGAAGAGCUCCGGAGCCAGCCCGGCGUGGCACGGCCGGGACGCGGCUGGGAUGGGCUCGGCUCAUGGAUUCGGGGAGAGGAGCCGGCGCUGAGCUGGCGUUUUCCUGCCGGAGCUCUCCGGGAUCUCAGUGAUGGAGCUCUCCGGGAUCUCGCUGCCAGAGCUGUCUGGGAUCUCGCUACUGGAGCGCCCCGGGGCUCGCUGACGAGCUCUUUGGGAUCUCGCUGGGGGAGGUGUCUGGAGCUCGCUGUCAGAUCUGUCUCUCCGGGAUCUCACUGUUGGACCUUUCUGGAGCUCGCUGGCAGAGCUCUCUCUCGGGAUCUCAGUGACAGAGCUCUCUGGGAUCUCACUGUCGGAUCUCUCCAGGAUCUCACUGCUGGAUCUCUCCGGGAUCUCACUG
This is a long non-coding RNA of Empidonax traillii (willow flycatcher), 429 nucleotides long. RefSeq lists it as uncharacterized. The transcript is spliced from 3 exons. Lineage: Eukaryota; Metazoa; Chordata; Aves; Passeriformes; Tyrannidae. The record is from RefSeq and is a predicted model, not a curated record.